GCCGAGGUCGCAUAGCCUGGUAUCGCGCAUGACUGGAAAUCAUGUGGGUUUUACCCGCCGGAGUUCAAAUCUCCGUCUCGGCGCCA
Molecule: transfer RNA, 86 nt
Filed under: Candidatus Thalassarchaeaceae archaeon
Lineage: Archaea; Methanobacteriati; Thermoplasmatota; Candidatus Poseidoniia; Candidatus Poseidoniales; Candidatus Thalassarchaeaceae
Also listed under: 1 other name
Description: tRNA-Ser
Rfam family: tRNA
About the family: Transfer RNA (tRNA) molecules are approximately 80 nucleotides in length.
Source: RNAcentral